UAGGGAAUAUUGCGCAAUGGGGGAAACCCUGACGCAGCAACGCCGCGUGAGUGAGGAAGGUCUUCGGAUUGUAAAACUCUGUUCUUAGGGAAAAAUGUCUUAGUGGCUAAUAUCCAUUAGGAGUGAUGGUACCUAAGUAGAAAGCACCGGCUAACUUCGUGCCAGCAGCCGCGGUAAUACGAAGGGUGCAAGCGUUGUUCGGAAUCAUUGGGCGUAAAGCGAGCGCAGGCGGAUCAGUAAGUCAGGUGUGAAAUCUCGAGGCUCAACCUCGAAAUUGCGCCUGAAACUACUAGUCUAGAAUGUCGGAGGGGAUAGGGGAAUUUCACGUGUAGGGGUAAAAUCCGUAGAGAUGUGAAGGAACACCGGAGGCGAAGGCGCCUAUCUGGACGACUAUUGACGCUGAGGCUCGAAAGCGUGGGGAGCAAACAGG
Molecule: ribosomal RNA, 430 nt
Filed under: uncultured Bacteriovoracaceae bacterium
Lineage: Bacteria; Pseudomonadati; Bdellovibrionota; Bacteriovoracia; Bacteriovoracales; Bacteriovoracaceae
Description: bacterial SSU rRNA
Rfam family: Bacterial small subunit ribosomal RNA
Source: RNAcentral